Molecule: non-coding RNA, 2695 nt
Organism: Macaca mulatta (Rhesus monkey)
Lineage: Eukaryota; Metazoa; Chordata; Mammalia; Primates; Cercopithecidae
Source: RefSeq, a predicted model, not a curated record
AAUAAAAAUAAAAUAUUAUGCAAUCUUCCUGUUUUUAGAAAAGCAGGUAAAACAUAACUUUGCAUUGGUAACAAGCACAUGAAUCCUUGUUACAGAACAGAAUCUUCCUAAAGCAGAAUGACUCCCAAGGGACAGGGAAUCCUGAGUGUGUUUUCCAGGAAAUAUUUUUCUCAAGUUUCUCAACAGUAAUAAAAGACUUCUGACAAACUGGUGUCAAAGAUUUCUUUGAGCAAAUAUGAGAAACUGUCAGCUUACCCCUUCUUAAUGGCAGUAAGAAGCAAAUUAUUUAUAAAAACUGAUGUGUGAAAAAAUUAGAGUUCAGAGAAACAAGUAAGAAUUUCUAAAGUAAUCUUUAGAAAUCAGGUUUUUAGAAUAUUCCCUCUGAUAUUUAAGUAUAUGACAGGGUAUGAAGUAUCUCCAAUAGUUAGCAUUAGGCUUAAUGUCCAAGCAACUGUCAUUAGGUAACUAGUUUUUGAAAAUAAUGGAGAAGUGUAGCCUGAGGCUUGGCAGAGUCUAUUCCUCUGUUGUUAAGAGUUUAGAUAAUAUCUAAGGCUUGGUGCCUCACAUCUUUAACUUAUUCAGAGUGCGAUUAUGGUGGAGAAUACUCAAUACAGAACAUUAAAGGAAAAGUAAUUUUUUUAGAACAACCAUUGUUCGGUAAAUAUGGGUGAGUGAUGGUCUUUAUAAGCCUUUAUGGCCUCCCACGCUUGUAUCUUAUUUGGUAUCAUAUUAGAUAAAAUCAACCCUUUCCACAGAAUAUCUUCCGGGUCAUGCAGCCUAAGACUUCCUUCUUCUCCACUCCUGCUCCUCCUUUUUCUCCUCCUCCUUUUAAGAAAACCACAGUAAGAAUAAAAAAGAGUUUAUGCUUGCCAUAUUAUUGUCCACAUAUAUUUUAUUUUAUUUUAUUUUUUCUUUUCUGAUUGACAAAGAGUCUUUGGCAAGGAAUAUCUUUGUCAAACAAAACUUUACUAAUCUACAUUAUAUUCUAAAGUAGAAACUGUUAAGAGGAAAUAUGAAAAUAACUCUAAGGCCUAAAUGUUGUAGAGUAAGAGUUAGCAAAUAAACUAAAUAUAGUUAAUAUUUUAGGUUUGCAGGUGAUACAGUCUUGGUCACAACUGCUCAGUUCUGUUGUUGUAGAACUUAUGCUGUCUUAAUAAUAUUUAGAUAUUUUGCUUAUAACUUCUUUUGAAUUAAUUUUAAUUUUUAACAUAUUGCAUUAGAUAUGAUUUAUCUUCAUGACUGAACUUUUUGCACCCCUCCCCACCCUUAGGUUCUGUGCCUGAGAUUCUAGGAAAAGAAGAGGAUUUUCUCAUCAUUACUUGGGUGCAGUGAGGAGCUAAAUUUAUGGAAUCAGAGUCAAAUUUGAAAUAAAUUUGUCCAUGAAAAAGUCACAAAAAUUGGUUAAGACCUCUAGCGUUACUUGUUCCAUGUAGCAAUCAAAUAGCUUGUGUGGGGCUGAAUGUUUAAUUUACUACACUCUCUCUAAUAACUUUUCUUAUCCAAUAAUGUGUUUCACAUUGUAAACUGCUUACAUCCCAUCAUAAGUUUGCUUCACAAAUUGUGAGUUUAGCUUUAUAAGUGCAUAUAAAGUUAUGCAUGGCUUAAGUGAUACUAUAAAUAAAUAAAACAUAAAAGAUACUGCCUAUCUGGCUGCAGAAGUAAACUACCACCAGAUUUCAGCCCAGUUGGCACAAGAAUAAUGCUUUGGAGCAAUUCAAGUCUGAAACAGCUUCAGUGAUACCAUUUAAACUUGAGGUAUAUUGGCAGAGCAAGGAUAUGACUAAACUAAAUUUGGCUUAAGCCACCUAUUACUCAUACCCUCUUUCUACUGCAUUCACACUUCAAUUAACAAACUGUAUAUGAUACACACACAUAUAUUUAUAGUUUAUAUUUUUCCUGUGUUGGCAAUGAAACUUUUUAAAUUACCUUCUGUAAGCUGUGAGAAUCUUCUAUUUGAAUCUAUUUGACAAGAUAAGACUUAGCUUCAAAAGUGUUGGGUACAUGGGUUUUUCCUGUUCAUCUUAAAAAAAGAGUUAACAUUUGUGCACUUUAACUUACCUCAUUACCACUCCUCACUCCUCUUGCUAAGUGGGAUAUGAUCAUCACAUCCUUUUUAUGAUAACUAACACUUACUCAGAAGGAGGCUCUAUGUCAAGCAUUUUGUAUGCGCUACGAUUAUUUUCAAUAGUGUGAUAGGUACACUGAGAUUUCAAAGUUAGAAAACUCCACCCAAGUUACAAGGUCAGUAUCUCCUUUAGUCAAGGCAUCAUUCUCUACUCUUUUAAAGGUCAAGUUUAUUGAAGUAUAACUUACAUGAGGAGGCACCAUUUUCUAUGAGUUUUGACAAAUAUUCUAAGUGUGUAACCACCACCACAGUCAACAGAAAAAUAUUUUCAUGACUGUUUAUGGUCAAUCCACUUUCCCAACCUGGCUGGCUGCUACUGACAUUACUGUCGUCAUAUGUUUGUCUUUACUAAAAUGUCAUAACAUUGUAAUCACACAGUAUGUGGUCUUUUGUGUAAACUUCUUUUCCUAGCGCUAUUUUAAGAUGUAUCUGCAUUUUUGCAUGUUAAUUCCUCUUUAGUGAUAAAUUGUAUUACACUGAAUGGAAGUACUUUGUUUAUUCAUUCACUAGUUAACAGGCAUUUGUGUUGUGUCCAGUUUUUAACAUUUAUGAAUAAAAUCACUAUAACCA